GAUGAAGAACGUAGCGAAAUGCGAUAAGUAAUGUGAAUUGCAGAAUUCAGUGAAUCAUCGAAUCUUUGAACGCACAUUGCGCCCCCUGGUAUUCCGGGGGGCAUGCCUGUUCGAGCGUCAUUUCACCACUCAAGCCUCGCUUGGUAUUGGUCAACGCGGUCCGCCGCGUGCCUCAAAUCGACCGGCUGGGUCUUCUGUCCCCUAAGCCUUGUGGAAACUAUUCGCUAAAGGGUGUUCGGGAGGCUACGCCGUAAAACAACCCCAUUUCUAAGGUUGACCUCGGAUCAGGUAGGGAUACCCGCUGAACUUAAGCAUAUCAAUAAGCGGAGGA
This 331-nucleotide unclassified non-coding RNA is filed under the name soil metagenome. RNAcentral's name for it is "partial contains 5.8S ribosomal RNA, internal transcribed spacer 2, and large subunit ribosomal RNA". The stretch from base 1 to 120 matches the Rfam family "5.8S ribosomal RNA", at positions 35 to 154 of the family's 154-position model. The record is from RNAcentral.